GGAUGAGGUAGAGGUGCAAUGCGAAUCAGUACCCACUUGGAGUUUGAUGGAACUAGGAAGAGUGGGGAAAGGUCAAUUUGCCGAAGUGAAUGUAUGUCCAUCCCAUACGUUUGCUGGGUCGUUUUUGAAUAAAAAACGAACUGCCGCUGACUGUUAGCGGAGAGCUAUCUGCCAA
This 175-nucleotide non-coding RNA is filed under the name Halalkalibacterium halodurans. RNAcentral's name for it is "Bacillus halodurans Lysine sequence". It matches the Rfam family "Lysine riboswitch aptamer". Rfam says of the family: Riboswitches are metabolite binding domains within certain messenger RNAs that serve as precision sensors for their corresponding targets. Allosteric rearrangement of mRNA structure is mediated by ligand binding, and this results in modulation of gene expression. The record is from RNAcentral. RNAcentral also lists the same sequence under 1 other name. Lineage: Bacteria; Bacillati; Bacillota; Bacilli; Caryophanales; Bacillaceae.